AUUCACCUAUUAUAAAAAGUGAUCGGGUUCAGGUCGGUACUUUUUAUAAUAUGUGAAUUUUUUUGUUCCUCCAAAAAAGUUCCAUAUUAAAAUUAUUUCUUUUAAGUUGGGGGUAAAAUCAACAUGAAACAAGGUACAGUGAAAUGGUUCAACGCGGAAAAGGGAUUCGGCUUCAUCGAAGUCGAAGGCGAGGACGACGUAUUCGUACACUUCUCCGCCAUCCAGGGCGAAGGCUUCAAGACGCUUGACGAAGGCCAGCAAGUUGAGUUCGAAGUUGUCGAAGGCAACCGCGGACCACAGGCUGCAAACGUCGUCAAGCUCUGAUCGGCGGGUUCAUACGGGAGGCUUCCGGAUUUUCCGGAAGCCUCUUU
This 371-nucleotide small RNA is filed under the name Bhargavaea cecembensis DSE10. RNAcentral's name for it is "cspA thermoregulator". It matches the Rfam family "cspA thermoregulator", at positions 83 to 428 of the family's 428-position model. The record is from Rfam by way of RNAcentral. Lineage: Bacteria; Bacillati; Bacillota; Bacilli; Caryophanales; Caryophanaceae.